RNAcentral lists this ribosomal RNA (847 nucleotides) under Ciboria coryli. RNAcentral's name for it is "partial large subunit ribosomal RNA". It matches the Rfam family "Eukaryotic large subunit ribosomal RNA", at positions 80 to 943 of the family's 3401-position model. Lineage: Eukaryota; Fungi; Ascomycota; Leotiomycetes; Helotiales; Sclerotiniaceae. The record is from RNAcentral.
UCAGUAACGGCGAGUGAAGCGGUAAAAGCUCAAAUUUGAAAUCUGGCUCUUUUAGAGUCCGAGUUGUAAUUUGUAGAAGAUGCUUCGGGUGUGGUUCCGGUCUAAGUUCCUUGGAACAGGACGUCAUAGAGGGUGAGAAUCCCGUAUGUGACUGGAUACCUACGCUCAUGUGAAGCUCUUUCGACGAGUCGAGUUGUUUGGGAAUGCAGCUCAAAAUGGGUGGUAUAUUUCAUCUAAAGCUAAAUAUUGGCCAGAGACCGAUAGCGCACAAGUAGAGUGAUCGAAAGAUGAAAAGCACUUUGGAAAGAGAGUUAAACAGUACGUGAAAUUGUUGAAAGGGAAGCGCUUGCAAUCAGACUUGCACCUGGUGUUCAUGGGGGGUUUUGUGCCCCUUGUACUUCAUCAGGUUCAGGCCAGCAUCGGUUUGGGUGGUUAGAUAAAGGCCUUGAGAAUGUGGCCCUCUUCGGGGGGUGUUAUAGCUCUCGGUGCAAUGUAGCCUACCUGGACCGAGGACCGCGCUUCGGCUAGGAUGCUGGCGUAAUGGUUGUAAGCGACCCGUCUUGAAACACGGACCAAGGAGUGUACCUAAUAUGCGAGUGUUUGGGUGUUAAACCCAUACGCGUAAUGAAAGUGAACGGAGGUGAGAGCCCUUUAGGGUGCAUCAUCGACCGAUCCUGAUGUCUUCGGAUGGAUUUGAGUAAGAGCAUAUUGGGUGCGACCCGAAAGAUGGUGAUCUAUACGUGAAUAGGGUGAAGCCAGAGGAAACUCUGGUGGAGGCUCGCAGCGGUUCUGACGUGCAAAUCGAUCGUCAAAUUUGCGUAUAGGGGCGAAAGACUAAUCGAACCAU